RNAcentral lists this ribosomal RNA (377 nucleotides) under uncultured eukaryote. RNAcentral describes it as "partial 18S ribosomal RNA". It matches the Rfam family "Eukaryotic small subunit ribosomal RNA", at positions 592 to 976 of the family's 1831-position model. The record is from RNAcentral.
CAAUAGCGUAUAUUAAAGUUGUUGCAGUUAAAAAGCUCGUAGUUGGAUUUCGGGGUGGCCUGCCUGGUCCACCGCAAGGUGAGUACUGGUCAGCCGCCCUUCCUCUCGAAAGCCCCGACUGCUCUUCAUUGCAGUGGUCGGGUAGUUCGGGACGUUUACUUUGAAAAAAUUAGAGUGUUCAAAGCAGGCCUACGCUCUGAAUACAUUAGCAUGGAAUAACACGAUAGGACUCUGGCCUAUCUUGUUGGUCUGUAGGACCGGAGUAAUGAUUAAGAGGGACAGUCGGGGGCAUUCGUAUUUCAUUGUCAGAGGUGAAAUUCUUGGAUUUAUGAAAGACGAACUACUGCGAAAGCAUUUGCCAAGGAUGUUUUCAUUAA